This 427-nucleotide ribosomal RNA is filed under the name uncultured bacterium. RNAcentral's name for it is "bacterial SSU rRNA". It matches the Rfam family "Bacterial small subunit ribosomal RNA", at positions 354 to 796 of the family's 1533-position model. The record is from RNAcentral.
GCAAGGAAUUUUGCGCAAUGGGCGAAAGCCUGACGCAGCGACGCCGCGUGUGGGAUGAACGCCUUCGGGUCGUAAACCACUUUUCUCAGGGAGGAAUAAAUGACAGUACCUGGGGAAUAAGUCACGGCUAACUACGUGCCAGCAGCCGCGGUAAUACGUAGGUGGCUAGCGUUAUCCGGAUUUAUUGGGCGUAAAGAGGGCGCUGGUGGCUUUGUAAGUCGGAUGUGAAAUCUCCUGGCUUAACUGGGAGCGGUCAUUCGAUACUGUGAAGCUUGAGAGCAUCAGAGGGAGGUGGAAUUCCCGGUGUAGUGGUGAAAUGCGUAGAUAUCGGGAGGAACACCAGUGGCGAAAGCGACCUCCUGGGGUGCUUCUGACGCUUAGGCCCGAAAGUGUGGGGAUCAAACAGGAUUAGAAACCCUAGUAGUCC